GACGAACGCUGGCGGCGGGCUUAACACAUGCAAGUCGAACGGAAAGGCCCUGCUUUUGUGCGGUGCUGGAGUGGCGAACGGGUGAGUAACAGGAGAGUAACCUGCCCUUGACUUUGGGAUAGCUUCAGGAAACUGGGCCUAAUCCCGGAUAGCAGCUCCUGCUGCAUGGUGGGGGGUGGAAAGUUUGGGCGGGUGGGGUUGGACUCGCGGCUUAUCAGCUUGUUGGUGGGGUAGGGGCUGACCAAGGCUUUGACGGGUCGCCGGCCUGGGAGGGUGACCGGCCACAUUGGGACUGAGAGACGGCCCAGACUCCUACGGGAGGCAGCAGUGGGGAAUAUUGCACAAUGGGCGGAAGCCUGAUGCAGCAACGCCGCGUGCGGGAUGACGGCCUUCGGGUUGUAAACCGCUUUCGCCUGUGACGAAGCGUUAGUGACGGUAAUGGGUAAAGAAGCACCGGCUAACUACGUG
Molecule: ribosomal RNA, 468 nt
Filed under: uncultured bacterium
Lineage: Bacteria
Description: partial 16S ribosomal RNA
Rfam family: Bacterial small subunit ribosomal RNA
Source: RNAcentral